CCUACGGGAGGCAGCAGUGGGGGAUAUUGCACAAUGGGGGGAGCCCUGAUGCAGCGACGCCGCGUGGGUGAAGGAGCGUUUCGGCGCGUAAAGCCCUAUCGGCAGGGAAGCAGAUGACGGUACCUGACCAAGACGCCCCGGCUAACUACGUGCCAGCAGCCGCGGGAAUUCGUAGGGGGCAAGCGGUAUCCGGAUUUACUGGGUGUAAAGGGGGCGCAGACGGCAAUGCACGCCAGGAGUGAAAGCCCGGGGCCCAACCCCGGGACUGCUCUUGGAACUGCAUGGCUGGAGUACAGGAGGGGCAGGCGGAAUUCCUAGUGUAGCGGUGAAAUGCGUAGAUAUUAGGAGGAACACCGGUGGCGAAGGCGGCCUGCUGGACUGUGACUGACGUUGAGGCCCGAAGGCGUGGGGAGCAAACAGGAUUAGAUACCCCUGUAGUC
This 440-nucleotide ribosomal RNA is filed under the name uncultured bacterium. RNAcentral describes it as "partial 16S ribosomal RNA". It matches the Rfam family "Bacterial small subunit ribosomal RNA", at positions 338 to 795 of the family's 1533-position model. The record is from RNAcentral.